This 305-nucleotide ribosomal RNA is filed under the name uncultured bacterium. Its description in RNAcentral is "bacterial SSU rRNA". It matches the Rfam family "Bacterial small subunit ribosomal RNA", at positions 334 to 637 of the family's 1533-position model. The record is from RNAcentral.
UUACCCUACGGGGGGCAGCAGUGAGGAAUAUUGGUCAAUGGGCGAGAGCCUGAACCAGCCAAGUCGCGUGAGGGAAGACGGUCCUAUGGAUUGUAAACCUCUUUUGCCGGGGAGCAAAAAGCGGUACGUGUACCGCAUCGAGAGUACCCGGAGAAAAAGCAUCGGCUAACUCCGUGCCAGCAGCCGCGGUAAUACGGAGGAUGCGAGCGUUAUCCGGAUUUAUUGGGUUUAAAGGGUGCGUAGGCGGUUUGUCAAGUCAGCGGUAAAAAUUCCGGGCUCAACCCGGUCCCGCCGUUGAAACUGGG